This 465-nucleotide ribosomal RNA is filed under the name uncultured bacterium. RNAcentral describes it as "partial 16S ribosomal RNA". It matches the Rfam family "Bacterial small subunit ribosomal RNA", at positions 28 to 507 of the family's 1533-position model. The record is from RNAcentral.
GACGAACGCUGGCGGUGUGCUUAACACAUGCAAGUCGAACGGUAAGGCCCUUUCGGGGGUACACGAGUGGCGAACGGGUGAGUAACACGUGAGUAACCUGCCCUCAUCUCUGGGAUAACAGUCGGAAACGGUUGCUAAUACUGGAUAUGAGCCUGCAAGGCAUCUUGUGGGUUGGGAAGAUUUUUUGGUUGGGGAUGGACUCGCGGCCUAUCAGCUUGUUGGUGAGGUAGUGGCUCACCAAGGCUUCGACGGGUAGCCGGCCUGAGAGGGCGACCGGCAACAUUGGGACUGAGAUACGGCCCAAACUCCUACGGGAGGCAGCAGUGGGGAAUAUUGCACAAUGGACGGAAGUCUGAUGCAGCAACGCCGCGUGCGGGAUGACGGCCUUCGGGUUGUAAACCGCUUUCAAUUGUGACGAAGCUUUUUGUGACGGUAGCAGUAGAAGAAGCACCGGCUAACUACGUG